UGAAGCCACAGUUUUGGACACUCCAAUAGUGCCCAACCCACACACUCUCCUUUCCGGCGUUCCACCCUCUGCCAAGUACUUCACUGUAAUUGAUCUAGCCAAUGCCUUCUUCAGUGUUCCCCUGGAUCCAACUUGCCAAUAUCUGUUUGCUUUCACACAUGACAAAAGUACACAUGGACUGUCAUGCCCCAAGGGGCACAAAAUUCACCAAGUCAAUUUGCGAAGGCCAUGUGCUCUAUCCUUGAUCCAUGGCAAUCUGACCACCC
Pelobates cultripes (western spadefoot toad) is the source of this 266-nucleotide non-coding RNA. NCBI's taxonomy places the organism in Eukaryota, Metazoa, Chordata, Amphibia, Anura, Pelobatidae. The record is from the annotation of a GenBank genome assembly.